GCCAGACUCCUACGGGAGGCAGCAGUGGGGAAUAUUGCACAAUGGGGGAAACCCUGAUGCAGCGACGCCGCGUGAGUGAAGAAGUAUUUCGGUAUGUAAAGCUCUAUCAGCAGGGAAGAUAAUGACGGUACCUGACUAAGAAGCCCCGGCUAACUACGUGCCAGCAGCCGCGGUAAUACGUAGGGGGCAAGCGUUAUCCGGAUUUACUGGGUGUAAAGGGAGCGUAGGUGGCAGGGCAAGUCAGAUGUGAAAACCCGGGGCUCAACCCCGGGAGUGCAUUUGAAACUGUCCAGCUGGAGUGCAGGAGAGGUAAGCGGAAUUCCUAGUGUAGCGGUGAAAUGCAUAGAUAUUAGGAGGAACACCAGUGGCGAAGGCGGCUUACUGGACUGUAACUGACACUGAGGCUCGAAAGCGUGGGGAGCAAACAGGAUUAGAUACCCGCGUA
This 445-nucleotide ribosomal RNA is filed under the name uncultured bacterium. Its description in RNAcentral is "bacterial SSU rRNA". It matches the Rfam family "Bacterial small subunit ribosomal RNA", at positions 330 to 792 of the family's 1533-position model. The record is from RNAcentral.